CUCUCGCCGGGAGCAGCAUAUCGCCUCCACCGUGAGUUUUCCCGGUUAUUCUCUGUUUGAUUUCGCUCGGCAGAUAUGUGCUCGGUUGUGCAUGUGCAUAAAUCAUAAUCUCUUUUGAAAGUCUUAACGUUUUUUUUUGGUUGGAGCUAAUCGAUGGGUUGGUUCUUAGGGGUUUACUAUGAUAUUGGUGAAAAAACGUUAUUGUCUGAUGUUGUAAGCGAUUAACUGAUCUGUUGACUUGUUUUAAAAAACUUGUUUUACUAGUUUGCUUGCUUCGUAAUUUUGAAGUGUCACAUGAGGAAUUAAUGAUUUUUGUUUCCAUUAGAAAUUAGGUAAACGCAGGACGUUUUGUUUUUGCAGGACUUCUGAAGAAUUGGUAGAAGUCGAAGCAGAACUGGUUGGUUUUACAGUGUUGCUUCUGCAUCGGCCUGAGAACAGACUAUCGCAACUGCCAAACUGUUGAUAUGGACUUCUUGGAUAAUGUUAACUGUGUUGUCUACCGGCAUACCUGGUAUUAUACCUUCAUCAACACCUGAACCACAUACUCCAUCUUGUUUAAUUUGGCGUUGUGUAGUAUCACUCUGUAAGAUGGAUCCAUUUUCAUUUAUUUCCUGAGCCGGAGCAAAUGUAAA
RNAcentral lists this long non-coding RNA (632 nucleotides) under Brassica rapa (field mustard). RNAcentral describes it as "long non-coding RNA (BRAP_LNC005492)". Lineage: Eukaryota; Viridiplantae; Streptophyta; Magnoliopsida; Brassicales; Brassicaceae. The record is from RNAcentral.